CAGGAUGGGACUCGCAUCUGCUCUGGUUGAUGAGGCGCUGUGAGGAUGGCAGGGAAUGUUCUUCCCUCAGGAGGUGAGGAGAAGGUCUCUCACUCCCACAGCUUCUUCUGGUACUUUCUGGUAGAUUAGCCCAAGACCCCUGCUUUCGGCAGCCCGCAGUGGAGCAGGGAUGCAGAGCUGCGGUCAGGCCACCGGUGUCCUCGUCCAUCAAUCGCUAACCAGGGCAGGAUGGGUGAGGAGCAGGACUCUUGCAGGCAGAGAUGAGUUGGGGUCCUCAGGCUGCCCAAGAUCAGGCAACAAGCAAGAAGGAACUGUCAAAAGGGAGAAGAUUCUUCCUUAACACUGAACAUGACUUACAUACCAGCAGCCACCAGGCCAGCUGCCAUUGGGAACGCUAUGACCCUCACAGCCAGCCAAUGAAGUGAAUGGGGUUAUUCCCAAUUCCCAGGCGAGGAAACUGAGGGCCUCGGGGGAUGUGAAGCUGGGAAGAGCAGUGGAGCCCUGGAGCUAUGUCUGGACUUUCCUGCCUCCAAAGCUUCCUCCAACAAAGGAGGAAAGGGGAGCAUCCUGGGCAAGCUCCACAUUCCCAGAACAAAACAACCAAAGAUGCAGCCCACAGGGAUGGGUGAACCAGAGCAUGGCAUCCUGGACACAGGGCUGGACUGAGGAUCAACCACAGGGAUGAAGCCCGGCUCCAGCUUGUCCCCACUGUAUUUGCCAGGAGAAAUCCCUUCUCGACCUGGCCUCCAUUCCCUGUCUGUAAACAGGAUAGCAUCACGCUGGGCGAUGUCUGAGGUUCCUUCCAGCCCCAGUGUUUUAUUUAUCUAGUUUCUGGUGGUAAAAGCCCUGGGCAGGGACUGUAAGCUGUGCCUUCCUGUUUUGUAGGUGAGAAUGUGUUCUCUAAACACCUUUAGCAAGAUGACAUAGGGACCGCGGCCUUCGGGCAGAACUGUGUGUGCUUGGAGGUGGCAAGUGGAGGCACAGAUGUGUUUUCUUCUGGGUGAAGGAGUCUCCACACUCCCUCCAUGAUAGUGCCUGGGGCAUGGGCCUCCCUGGCAGAAUAGCUGGCCCCAGCUGGGGACUCUAGGUCUGCUUUAAAAUGCUCUAGGGCUUCUGGAUGUGCUCAAGGAAUGGGCUUAAAUUCAGAGCAGGGAAGAAAAACAAGCCCAUGGACCAAACAAGUCCUGCACCAUUAGAUCAAGGAGACAUUGCUGUGCUGGAAAACAGGAGUCAUUUGUGAGAUAAAUGUACUGCUGGGAGACUUGACCUUGUUCCACCCGCAAUACCGUGUGUGGUUAUUCAUGGGACUUCUUGGGUAAAUCAGCUGAGCUCAGAGCUGCAAAGAGGCUUAUAGGCCUUCCCAUUGAGCAUGAGAAUGAAUGAGUAAGUGGCUGUAGCCAUAAGCUGUCACUGGUACCAACUGAGAUAUGGUGGAUGCUGGGCCCCUGAGGAGUCACAGUCAGUGGGGAGACAAGGAAUGAGGCUGUUGUGCACUGGGCCAGGUGCAAGAGAAUCGCCACCUCUCACUCUACCAAGCCAGGAGUGGGAUGAAUGGGAAGAACACCAGAGGAGAGGGUGCCUCGUGCUGAUUCCCAGGGCAGGUGGAGACAAGGAGAAACAGCCUGUGCCGAGCCCAACACACACAAGCUUGCCUGCCGAGCCCAAUGCAUGCCAGUGUGCAUCCGGGAAUUCUAUCUGCUUUCUGGCCCUCUCCAGGGUUCCUCCGCAUCCUAUGCAUGAUACAUUGACUUGCCUCCUGGCAUCUGUCUCCUUUAAUGACCAUGCCCUUCUCUAGGAGAGAAAGACAGUCUUUCUCAUCUGUUUCUCGGCACCCAGCACGCAGCCAGGUAGAGCGGAUGACCAGUAAGGUGUGGCUGAAUGGACUUGGUGACUACUCGUGUUACUCAGAGAUUAAGGCACAAGCCCACUAAGAAACCUACGCAGGACAGCCUGACGUGGCUCCCCACCAGGGGCUCCCUAUGAGACGCCGCACUGGAUACAGGCUGGUGGACCCCCGCACGUGUGUUCUGUUCUCAAAUGUCUCCUUCACCACGAAUCACCUGCAUCCUCCCACCAGCUCUUUCUCUGCCCCCUUCUGAGGCUCCUUCAGCAGUUGGCUGCUCCGAAUAUUAAAAAUCCAGGCAGGAAUUUGCCCACAAAUCAGAUUUGGGAUUUCCUGAUAGCAGGAGCUGAGCUGGUCAUCUCCGGAUCCCCCAGACCUAGCAUGGAUACUGAAUGGAAUACUUUUAGAAGAUAAACAUCUGGAAUAAUGCUUGACGAAAUACCUGAGUACAGACUGUGACCCAGUCAAGCUGACACAUGAAAUUAACCAUCACACUGUCGGACUCUGGCUGUGUGACUUUAUCUCAUUUCUUCAUCUAUAAAAUGGAGGCCACACUUUUACCUCUCACAUGGGGCUGAGAGAGGAUUAAAUGGUCAAUAUUUCCAAAGGCCCGAGGCUACUGCUGGUGUAAGGAAGCCCCGUAGCCAACACACACCCCAGGGCAGGAAGUGGGUGAGAACAACUUAGACCUUGGACAGAAAGCAAUUCGGAAACUGGCUCAGCCUCUUCUCGUUGCUGGCACGGCAAGCAGUGUUAAGUGUGAGCAAUUUUUUGUUUUGUUUUGAAUUUGAAUGGUUCCUUUUUCUCCUUCACGAGGAGGCCAUGGUUUCUGAGAGUGGGGCUUGCAUGUGGCAAAGAAUAAGGAUGGCAAGAAGGGCGGAAGCACCCCUGAGCACUGCAGCUGCUACUUCCAGUGCACUCUCUGUUUACAACCGCCCUGGGAGAUGAGAAGAAAACCUCCAGAUUAUACUUGAAACGCUGAGGCUGGAAGAGGUAGACAAGAUGUGGCGAAGUCACACAGCUGCCAACUGAUGGGCUGGCCUGCUGGAUCCCAGAGCCAACAUUCUUUGUGGUAGGGGAGGUGUCUAAACCAUCUUUUUUUGCUGGGGACAUGCAAAUACAUGGAAACUCACAACGGCUGUGUACUUCUCACAAACUUUCAAAAGGUGUUUUGUGAAUUGAGCUAAAUUCACUGCUGUGCAGGAGAUGUGAGGCCCUAAACAUGGUAUAAAAUUCUGUAACGGACACUUUACAAAAGAAGAAGGAAAGGGAAAAAAGCAGAUUGAGAAAUGCCACAUACGUUUCCAGGCGGGGACAUAGAUUUCAUGCCGUUACACAGCUUUCCUAACUCCAUUUCACCUAGCUGGAGCUUUGGACUCUUACGUAAAGUUCCUUAUUCAUUUGUUCAGCAGAGAUUUAUUAAGCAGCCACUGCGUCUCUUGCAACUACAGAAUCAGUCUUUUGAAAAAUGAACCAGAAAAUGUAUGGAAACUAAUCCUGCCUUUCUCACCAAACACACUGUAGGGAUAACCUCUCUCAUACGUGGGCGUCAAAUGUUUACAAAACUUGUGCCUUCCAUCUGUCACUUUCCUGCUGGCCGCUGGGCCUCCGGACACACAGUUCCCCUGCCUGCAGCACUCCAAAAAUAUUCUAUGCGCUCCCCUCCCUACAAAUAUUUGAUGAAGGAAUAGCAGAAAGAACACAUUCUUUCCAUGGUUUAUAUAAGCACCACACUCCUGCCAGGGCUAUCUGUCUCAGCUUUUUCCUUUUCACGAUGAAUCGUACCACAGUUUGUGCCUGAUGCUCUGCAGAAAUUGAUCUUAACACUUAAAAACAACUUUGCCUGUUGGGUACAUGUCAGAUGUUUUACAGAGUAAUCUUCACAUUUUCCUGCUUGAGCGAUAUAUUCAGACAUCCCCACACUCAUUCAGCUGAUGGGAAUGUUGGUCUCAGCCCUUGAACAAAUCAAUCAGGUAGGCUGGAGGGGCAUCCUGGAUUCUUCUCCAGGCUCCAUCGUCAGACACUGGUUC
RNAcentral lists this long non-coding RNA (3873 nucleotides) under Homo sapiens (human). Its description in RNAcentral is "HSALNT0317990". Lineage: Eukaryota; Metazoa; Chordata; Mammalia; Primates; Hominidae. The record is from RNAcentral.